RNAcentral lists this ribosomal RNA (253 nucleotides) under uncultured bacterium. RNAcentral's name for it is "partial 16S ribosomal RNA". It matches the Rfam family "Bacterial small subunit ribosomal RNA", at positions 524 to 776 of the family's 1533-position model. The record is from RNAcentral.
UACGUAGGGUGCGAGCGUUAAUCGGAAUUACUGGGCGUAAAGGGUGCGCAGGCGGUUAUAUAAGACAGAUGUGAAAUCCCCGGGCUCAACCUGGGAACUGCGUUUGUGACUGUAUGACUAGAGUACGGUAGAGAGGGGUGGAAUUCCUGGUGUAGCAGUGAAAUGCGUAGAUAUCAGGAGGAACAUCGAUGGGCGAAGGCAGCCGCCUGGCCAACACUGACGUUCAUGCACGAAAGCGUGGGGAGCAAACAGG